Molecule: ribosomal RNA, 1230 nt
Filed under: Brevibacterium epidermidis
Lineage: Bacteria; Bacillati; Actinomycetota; Actinomycetes; Micrococcales; Brevibacteriaceae
Description: bacterial SSU rRNA
Rfam family: Bacterial small subunit ribosomal RNA
Source: RNAcentral
UGGGAAACUGGGUCUAAUACCGGAUAUGACCAACUUGACGCAUGWUGGGUGGUGGAAAGUUUUUCGAUCGGGGAUGGGCUCGCGGCCUAUCAGCUUGUUGGUGGGGUAAUGGCCUACCAAGGCGACGACGGGUAGCCGGCCUGAGAGGGCGACCGGCCACACUGGGACUGAGACACGGCCCAGACUCCUACGGGAGGCAGCAGUGGGGAAUAUUGCACAAUGGGGGAAACCCUGAUGCAGCGACGCAGCGUGCGGGAUGACGGCCUUCGGGUUGUAAACCGCUUUCAGCAGGGAAGAAGCGAAAGUGACGGUACCUGCAGAAGAAGUACCGGCUAACUACGUGCCAGCAGCCGCGGUAAUACGUAGGGUACGAGCGUUGUCCGGAAUUAUUGGGCGUAAAGAGCUCGUAGGUGGUUGGUCACGUCUGCUGUGGAAACGCAACGCUUAACGUUGCGCGUGCAGUGGGUACGGGCUGACUAGAGUGCAGUAGGGGAGUCUGGAAUUCCUGGUGUAGCGGUGAAAUGCGCAGAUAUCAGGAGGAACACCGGUGGCGAAGGCGGGACUCUGGGCUGUAACUGACACUGAGGAGCGAAAGCAUGGGGAGCGAACAGGAUUAGAUACCCUGGUAGUCCAUGCCGUAAACGUUGGGCACUACUAGGUGUGGGGGACAUUCCACGUUCUCCGCGCCGUAGCUAACGCAUUAAGUGCCCCGCCUGGGGAGUACGGUCGCAAGGCUAAAACUCAAAGGAAUUGACGGGGGCCCGCACAAGCGGCGGAGCAUGCGGAUUAAUUCGAUGCAACGCGAAGAACCUUACCAAGGCUUGACAUACACUGGACCGUUCUGGAAACAGUUCUUCUCUUUGGAGCUGGUGUACAGGUGGUGCAUGGUUGUCGUCAGCUCGUGUCGUGAGAUGUUGGGUUAAGUCCCGCAACGAGCGCAACCCUCGUUCUAUGUUGCCAGCACGUGAUGGUGGGAACUCAUAGGAGACUGCCGGGGUCAACUCGGAGGAAGGUGGGGAUGGGCGUCGGAUCAUCAUGCCCUUUAUGUCUUGGGCUUCACGCAUGCUACAAUGGCUGGUACAGAGAGAGGCGAACCCGUGAGGGUAAGCGAAUCCCUUAAAGCCAGUCUCAGUUCGGAUCGUAGUCUGCAAUUCGACUACGUGAAGUCGGAGUCGCUAGUAAUCGCAGAUCAGCAACGCUGCGGUGAAUACGUUCCCGGGCCUUGUACAC